This 70-nucleotide transfer RNA is filed under the name Ipomoea nil (Japanese morning glory). It matches the Rfam family "tRNA". From Rfam's summary of the family: Transfer RNA (tRNA) molecules are approximately 80 nucleotides in length. Their secondary structure includes four short double-helical elements and three loops (D, anti-codon, and T loops). The record is from Rfam by way of RNAcentral. Lineage: Eukaryota; Viridiplantae; Streptophyta; Magnoliopsida; Solanales; Convolvulaceae.
GUCGUUGUAGUAUAGUGGUGAGUAUCCCGCUGUCACGCGGGAGACCCGGGUUCGAUCCCCGGCAACGGCG